UGUAAGUGGCAGAGUGGC
RNAcentral lists this small nuclear RNA (18 nucleotides) under Arabidopsis thaliana (thale cress). Its description in RNAcentral is "snRNA_02105". The record is from RNAcentral. Lineage: Eukaryota; Viridiplantae; Streptophyta; Magnoliopsida; Brassicales; Brassicaceae.